Pelobates cultripes (western spadefoot toad) is the source of this 292-nucleotide non-coding RNA. The record is from the annotation of a GenBank genome assembly. Lineage: Eukaryota; Metazoa; Chordata; Amphibia; Anura; Pelobatidae.
CUCGAAUACGGAAAAACAUAUACCUGGUAAUUCCUCCACCAAACCUUGCAGUACCUUAAAUGAAACCGGUCUCCUCGAGUCUCGGGCCUUCUUACCUUUCCUAAAACCCCGCACCGCUUGCCUCACCAUGAAAUGUUUUCUCACGUCUACCCAGCCGUUGAACUUGAAGAGGAACGCCAGCGCUGCGAGAUGCUUAUCUACCAUCGAUGGUGAAGCGUGCUCAGCGAACAAGCGGCAAAGAAUCCACAACAGCACGUCCAACCGAUUGGGUUCUGAGCCCUCCAUGCCCAGC